GGCGGACGGGUGAGUAACGCGUAAGAACUUGCCCUUUAGACUGGGAUAACAGAGGGAAACUUCUGAUAAUACUGGAUAAGUUAGUAUAUCGCAUGAUAUGCAAAAUGAAAGCUACGGCACUAAAGGAGAGCUUUGCGUCCUAUUAGCUAGUUGGUAAGGUAAGAGCUUACCAAGGCGAUGAUAGGUAGCCGGCCUGAGAGGGUGGACGGCCACAAGGGGACUGAGAUACGGCCCUUACUCCUACGGGAGGCAGCAGAC
This 258-nucleotide ribosomal RNA is filed under the name uncultured Leptotrichia sp. Its description in RNAcentral is "partial 16S ribosomal RNA". It matches the Rfam family "Bacterial small subunit ribosomal RNA", at positions 97 to 354 of the family's 1533-position model. The record is from RNAcentral. Lineage: Bacteria; Fusobacteriati; Fusobacteriota; Fusobacteriia; Fusobacteriales; Leptotrichiaceae.